This 305-nucleotide ribosomal RNA is filed under the name uncultured bacterium. RNAcentral's name for it is "bacterial SSU rRNA". It matches the Rfam family "Bacterial small subunit ribosomal RNA", at positions 335 to 638 of the family's 1533-position model. The record is from RNAcentral.
AGCCUACGGGGCGCAGCAGUGAGGAAUAUUGGUCAAUGGGCGCGAGCCUGAACCAGCCAAGUCGCGUGAGGGAUGACGGCCCUACGGGUUGUAAACCUCUUUUGUCGGGGAGCAAAUUCCGCCACGCGUGGCGGAGUCGAGAGUACCAGAAGAAAAAGCAUCGGCUAACUCCGUGCCAGCAGCCGCGGUAAUACGGAGGAUGCGAGCGUUAUCCGGAUUUAUUGGGGUUAAAGGGUGCGUAGGCGGACUGUCAAGGCAGCGGUAAAAUACGGGGGCUCAACCGCCGCCCGCCGUUGAAACUGACG